This is a long non-coding RNA of Canis lupus familiaris (dog), 3885 nucleotides long. RefSeq lists it as uncharacterized. The record is from RefSeq and is a predicted model, not a curated record. Lineage: Eukaryota; Metazoa; Chordata; Mammalia; Carnivora; Canidae. The transcript is spliced from 3 exons.
AACCCCGUCCUCCUCCUGUAUUUCCAGACGUGGAGCCACGCAGCGAAGUGAGCGCCGGGUGUGGGUCUGGGAACUGGUGCUCGUGCUUCCAGUGGGUCCCCGAGAACGGGUCUCAACCGGGCUGCAGCCCCAGCCCCCGACCCAUUCGAGGGAAUAAUCGCUCUUUCUCUGCGGACGUCACGGGCUGGUUGGACAAAAGGUUACAUUGGGUCCAAUCCUGUUUCCAAAUUGCAAAGUAAAAGAGCACUAUCCUCAGCUCCCAAUGCCUCCUCCACGUAUCUGACCUGCCAACUGAACGAGAUUCCUCAUGUUUUUGCCAAACGCGGAGGGCAAUGGAUUUUUUUUCCUUCGCAAGACUUUGUUCAAACUGUUCCUUCUGUCAGAAAAGGUCUUCCCCCUCCAUCUCUGCCUUCAAAAUCUGUUCCAUCCUUCCCGGUGAGACUCCCUUCCUUCCAAGAAGUCUUCCCCAUUCCGAUGUCCUUUUUCCAGAGCCGACCUCUUCUGAGCCCGGCGGACCUCCUCCCCAUUGCCUAGUUCAGUGCUGACCUUGCUCUGCCUCACGUUCAGGCUCUUUCUAUGUCUGCUGAGGCUCCCCGUAGGCCAACUGUAAAGCCACUUGCUCCUACACCCUCCGUGCCUGGCAUGCAGCCUGCACUGGGGACGUGGCUGGGGUGACAGUAAAAGUGGGGACAUCUAUGCUGUGUGACCAUGUGCAUGGAUGUCCUUGCAAUCACUCUUUCCCAAGAAGAGUCUAAGGAAACUUUACAAACUAAACACAACCCUCAGAAGAACAAGUGAGGGUAAAACAGAAACAAUAUGUUUCUAGCCACCUGGGAUGAGCUGUUUACUACAGCUGAACGCUGGAUUUAUCUCUGAAUUUCCUGGAUGAAAGGGAAACAGGCUGGCUCAUAUACUUUUCAUUGUACAAUAACUCUGGAAUCAGAUUGGAAAGAGAAAUUUUUCCUGGCACUGUGUUCAAGGAGAAAUUUAUCAAGUGCGUCCUUAUAUAACAGACAUGAGGUAACACAGUCAGCCCCAUCUCCAACCAGCGUUUUGCAAAAGGACCCAGAUGUCUUCACAUGGGCGAUUCCUGUGUUCGGCUGCAGUUCACAGAGAAGGGAUGUCUGCAAGGAAAUGAGACCACGUGGCCCAUAUCCAGGGCCUUCUCCACAGUUGUAGAAAUCUUGAAAGAAACGUUGGUGUGAGUCUGUUUCAUAUCAGAUCCUAAAAACCACAUCGAGAUUCAUCCCAAAGAUCGUGGUGGCCAGCUUGCCUCAGCUCGAGGCAGGCGGAGGCAGGGGGUGUCCCAGAGCUGAGACAAGAGUCACCCUUCAAGGGGCAGACCAUAGAGGGGCUGGCACGCACUGAGGUGGGCAGGGCUCAGCAUUCAUGCAUGAGUGAACUGUCCCUCCGUGGAACUCUGUACUGGAUGAUGUCAAGGGACCCAUUGUUCAUCAGGAGGUCAUGGCCAGUGUGGUCAGCCUCAAGGGAGAACCAUGGGCACCUUCAUAGAUGUCAUAGCAGGCAAUGAAAAAGACUAGAGUUCUUGGGGAAAGACAAGUUCAUGACUAACACCAGGCCCCGGAGCAAGGAGACAAGUGCAUGUUAGGGCCACCAAGAUGGCAGACGCUGGAUCUAUCUGAUGAUGUCGGAGCAUCAGAAUCACCAUGCGGUGAGGGUCCCCAGGCGGCUAGCGCAGUGACAUUGCAACCUGGGGCUGGUCCCAUAGGAAGUGACCCAAGAGCCUGGUGCACACACCUCAGCUUCUCCUUCUAAGCCUUCCUGUCUGUUCACGUUAUUACUACAAACAACAAGGACUAUGAGAAUGGCCUUAGGGAGAUGAAUGGCUCAGCCAUCAAGUACCAAACUGUAUUUUUCCCCAAAGAAAGUAGACUUGUUUUCAUUCAGCUGAAAAGCCCAGAGCAUCAAAUUAACAAAUUGACUGAUUAAAUGACUUUUUAAAAAUUCUUAAUAACUCAUCCUACUAAACAAGUGUUGUCUUAAGCACCAGCUAUGUGCUCACCAUGGCAUCAGGCACUUUGCGUUCAAUACAGCACAGGAUCACAGCUCUGCAGGCAGAUCUACCCCUCGAGGUGGAGGACACUGCUCUGACAGCAGGGGUCCCGCAGGACCAAGGAAAAUGAGGUACAAGCAAUCGGGUCAAUUGCUUAAGAUCCUGGUCAAUCGGUGACAGAGAGGACUGCAGCCCUGCCCCAGCGCCGGCCUCUGGCAGGCAUGCGACUGAAAUGAAUGACCUGGAAAGAACACGCUUUCAUCCUUCUGGAGUUUUGUCUAAAAAAGGAAUGGACUGCUAUCUUCGGGGGAACCUCCGUGUAGCCUGCAGCAAAUGGCUAAGGAUGGAUGGAGCACAGAGAUCUUCCACUCCCGCUCCCUUCCAGGCACAGGAGCUAAUCACUUCUCUUCACUUGCUCACCUGCUUUCCUUCUUCCUUUCCCUCACAUUCGGUUCUCUUUCCUCUCACCUGCUCCCCAUCUCCUUAUCCGAAAGGGCCUCUGUGAGUCUAGAACCCCCUUUCUGCCCUUGGUCUCUGCACUUUGGAUCACUGGACGCUCAUGGGACGGGGCUUCUGUGGUCAUGAGCAUUUGCAGGGCACCGGGGGGGAGGGAGAAGUUAGCUCAUGGAGGGGCUGGGAGAAGAAUGACCUUGAUGUAAGCGGCAGCCUGGUUCUAAUUUUAGCAACAGCCCAGCACUGGACUUCCUGGAGGUAUCAGAUUGCCCCGCUCUCUCUCCCCCUCCCCUCAGCUGGCUGACACCAGACAUGUGGAAGAGAUUCAGAUCACAAGAAUCACCAAAUCAGGUCACACCCAUGGCUCAUCCGGCUCAGCCUCUGUCUCGGGAAGUGGGGACAGAGAGUCCCUGACCAUCAGAGUUUAUCCAUCUCCUUGUAAAACUCCCUUAGUCUGUAGGCUGGGCCAGAGGUAGAGAGAGGGAAAGAUGGUGGUUGAUACCAAGGGGCUAUCAAACCCAGGUCUAGAAUUGGGGUCCUCUGGCGUCUAGGCUCGCAUGUUGCCUGUCAUGUCACUCUCUCCAGGUUAGGGUUGUAGCCUGAGGAUAUACUCUUGCCUUUCCUGAGGUAUGACCCAUGCAGGAAUAUUUCUAAAUAAUUUUCCCUACCAUUUCUGUAUUUUUUGUAUAUUUUUAAAUUCACUUAUAGAGAAAUGCACGUUUUACCUGUGCAACCUAUGAAUUUUGAAAAACACCUACACCCCCAUCAAGAUAAAGAACACUUCCAUGGCCCCCAGAGAAUUCCAUCUUGCCGCCCUUCCAAUCAAUCCCCCAGACCGUGCCACAAGCAACCACAGCUCUGAUUUCUAUCAUCAGAGAUUCAUUUUUCCAGUUCUUAACUUUACUAUUUGAAGUUAGGUAGAUGCAUGCAGAUCCUUCACUGGGUGGUUCCAGUUGCAUUUCCCUUGUCCAAGCCCCUUCUUGCUGGGCGGAGUGGGAAGGACCCUCAGCUCCAGGUCUCUAUCCCAUGAGCCCACGAUCUGGAAAAGGAACUCAUACCAGGCCUCCGCAGUGCCCGGCAUGUUGUCAGGAUGCAAGUCAUUCAUUCAGACUAGUUCCGUGCCCCAAGGGAAACCUCUUGACUCCAUAUUCCAGAUCUCCUAGAAUGAACUCUGCAAGCCUUCCACUUGUUUGGUAAUGACCCUGGAGUUAACCAGAGUGCUUUUCUCACUGCAGCGCGGGCCCAUCGUUUCAUGUUUUCUCCCUGGUAAAGCUAUUGAACAAUAGCUUUAGUCAAUAGUACAGUAACUCGGGAUCCCUGGGUGGCUCAGCAGUUGGCGCCUGCCUUUGGCCCAGGGCGCAAUCCUGUAGUCCCGGGAUCGAGUCCCACAUCGGGCUCCCUGCAUGGACCCUGCUUCU